RNAcentral lists this transfer RNA (71 nucleotides) under Marmota monax (woodchuck). It matches the Rfam family "tRNA". From Rfam's summary of the family: Transfer RNA (tRNA) molecules are approximately 80 nucleotides in length. Their secondary structure includes four short double-helical elements and three loops (D, anti-codon, and T loops). Further hydrogen bonds mediate the characteristic L-shaped molecular structure. tRNAs have two regions of fundamental functional importance: the anti-codon, which is responsible for specific mRNA codon recognition, and the 3' end, to which the tRNAs corresponding amino acid is attached (by aminoacyl-tRNA synthetases). tRNAs cope with the degeneracy of the genetic code in two manners: having more than one tRNA (with a specific anti-codon) for a particular amino acid; and 'wobble' base-pairing, i.e. permitting non-standard base-pairing at the 3rd anti-codon position. The record is from Rfam by way of RNAcentral. Lineage: Eukaryota; Metazoa; Chordata; Mammalia; Rodentia; Sciuridae.
GUGGUUGUGGCUCAGUGGUAGAGUACUUGCCUCGCCUGUGUGAUUCACUGAGUUCAAGUCUCAGCAUCACA